UAGGGUGUAUUAGAAAUGGACGAAAGUCUGAUCUAGCAACACCGCGUGUGCGAUGAAGGCCUUCGGGUCGUAAAGCGCUUUUUGGAAGGAAUAGGAAGGAAUGUACUUCCAGAAUAAGUCUCGGCUAACUACGUGCCAGCAGCCGCGGUAACACGUAGGAGGCAAACGUUAUCCGGAUUUACUGGGCGUAAAGCGCGUGUAGGUGGUACUGUAAGUAGGGCGUGAAAGCUCCUGGCUCAACUGGGAGAGGCCGUUCUAAACUACAGAACUAGAGGAUGGUAGAGGGAGGUGGAAUUCCAGGUGUAGCGGUGGAAUGCGCAGAUAUCUGGAGGAACACCGGUGGCGAAGGCGGCCUCCUGGACCAUUCCUGACACUCAGACGCGAAAGCUAGGGUAGCAAACGG
This 403-nucleotide ribosomal RNA is filed under the name uncultured bacterium. RNAcentral's name for it is "bacterial SSU rRNA". It matches the Rfam family "Bacterial small subunit ribosomal RNA", at positions 355 to 775 of the family's 1533-position model. The record is from RNAcentral.